CAUCGUCAACGUAUUUGGUAUUAAUGCAAGUUAUGAUGUGAAUUAUUUGCUCUUUCGGGAACAAUGUUUAUACAUAUUUGUAUUAUUUUAUUGCUAAAUAUCGUCGGCGUGCACUUCUCCCCUAGUAGAACGUCGUGACCCGUUGGGUGUUGAUCUACGGCCCAGUUGACAGUCUUUGAUAACGCUUUAAUCGGCGAUUAUUAUUAAAAAUCACUGGUGUAUCCUGAUCAUCUGCCCGGCGGUAUUCGUACGAUAUUGAGCCGCAAAAUAUUAUAUAAUUUGCGUUAAACCCGUCACAAGCCCAGAUAAUUUACGGUAGUUAUGGACCUAGUGCCAUCGCUGUAAUUAUCUAGCUGUUGGUUGUUGCGGUGUUCUUUAACUGGCUCAAAUAAAUUAUCGGUCGGCGACGCUACUGCUUUGGGUACUUUCAGGACCCGUCUUGAAACACGGACCAAGGAGUCUAACAUGUACGCAAGUCAUUGGGAUUUAUUUUUUUAAAUUAAAUCAAACCUAAAGGCAUAAUGAAAGUAAAAGUCGUCCUUGCGUCGACCGAGGGAAGAUGGGUUACGUUACGAUGUAAUCUCGCACUCCCGGGGCGUCUCAUUCUCAUU
Molecule: ribosomal RNA, 611 nt
Filed under: Ichneutes bicolor
Lineage: Eukaryota; Metazoa; Arthropoda; Insecta; Hymenoptera; Braconidae
Description: eukaryotic LSU rRNA
Rfam family: Eukaryotic large subunit ribosomal RNA
Source: RNAcentral